RNAcentral lists this ribosomal RNA (483 nucleotides) under Veillonellaceae bacterium oral taxon 155. Its description in RNAcentral is "bacterial SSU rRNA". It matches the Rfam family "Bacterial small subunit ribosomal RNA", at positions 28 to 497 of the family's 1533-position model. The record is from RNAcentral. Lineage: Bacteria; Bacillati; Bacillota; Negativicutes; Veillonellales; Veillonellaceae.
GACGAACGCUGGCGGCGUGCUUAACACAUGCAAGUCGAACGGAGCUAUUUAUUUCGGUAGAUAGCUUAGUGGCAAACGGGUGAGUAACGCGUAGGCAACCUGCCCUCAGGAUGGGGACAACGGCUCGAAGGAGCCGCUAAUACCGAAUGAGGUAACUUUUUCACAUGGAAGAGAUACUAAAGAUGGGUCAAACCAUCGCCUGAGGAUGGGCCUGCGUCUGAUUAGCCAGUUGGUGAGGUAACGGCUCACCAAAGCGACGAUCAGUAGCCGGUCUGAGAGGAUGAACGGCCACAAUGGGACUGAGACACGGCCCAUACUCCUACGGGAGGCAGCAGUGGGGAAUCUUCCGCAAUGGGCGAAAGCCUGACGGAGCAACGCCGCGUGAGUGAAGAAGGUCUUAGGAUCGUAAAGCUCUGUUGUCGGGGACGAAAGAGUAGACGAGGAAAUGCGUCUACUAAGACGUACCUGACGAGGAGCCACGCA